Long non-coding RNA from Fukomys damarensis (Damara mole-rat), 1317 nucleotides. RefSeq lists it as uncharacterized. The transcript has 3 exons. The record is from RefSeq and is a predicted model, not a curated record. NCBI's taxonomy places the organism in Eukaryota, Metazoa, Chordata, Mammalia, Rodentia, Bathyergidae.
UCCAUGCCAGGCUGAGGUGCCUCCCUGUUUCUUCUCAUUUGAGAGUCCUCCACAGAAGCGGCUCAGUUCUGGGAGACCUCGGCACACACAUGGGCAGUAAAUGUAGACGUCCAAAGUCUACUUCAAAAGUUUUAAUGAAAAUAAUGGAGAAUUCGAGUUUGAUUUUUUCCAAGGUACCAGGGAUUGAAUUCAGGCUGUCACCCUUGCGAGGCAGGCCGUGGAUCCACUGAGCCAAAUCCCCAGCCCAUAAAAUGGCAUUGUCUAAAACAUUAUUUACCAAACACAAAAUUCUUUUAAAAUUGUUCUAUGGCAUAAAGAAAAUGAAGAAAUUUGAUUCAAGACAACCUAGUAAAUCUUGGAGCUGUUGCCUCUCUGCCACAGGUCACCCUGCCUUGCAGCCAGCCAAUUAAGGACUUAAACGUCUACAAACUGAGCUAAAUACACCUUUGCCUCCAUUCAGUUUGGAACUUGAGUAUUUUGAUUCAGCAAGGAGAAAAGUAACUAACACCCACCCCGUCUUCUCUCCAAGGGCCAGCAGUCUCUUGUGCCUGUGGGUCCCUCAUCCACCCUGGGGACCUGGUAGUGUGAAGCCACCAAGGAGCUGCUCUGAGACCCAGGUUGAGACACUCAGCUCUUCCCUACAGUGGUGUCCUUGUCGGCCCUUACUCACCAUUGUGGCUGUGGGUGCUUGUACUGAGGUCACUAACCAAGUGCUGGUGGAUUGCAUACAGCCACUCUGGAAGUGUUGCCCCAUGUUUUACUUGUGAUCCAACUGCUGGCAUUUCCUUCAGUUCCAGUGCAGUUCUCUGCUCCCACAUGGCCAAAAUUUGUGAGUUUUACUUCGCCUCCCACCUCGCAGCUAGCUAAUCACUAUCAUUGUCACUGCACAGUCUCUCCUCAGCAGUGUGAUCUAUUUUUCUGUAUCAUUUAAUCCAGUUUCUUCUCCUCUAUCCACUCUUUAUUGGUUCCCUCUUAAGCUCCACACACUCUGAUUCCUGUCCAAGCUAUUGUUUUCCAAACCUAGACACUUUGUAGUGGAAAAGCUGAGUUCCUGGCACUCACUGCUCUGCCAUUUUGGGACCAAGAAUAUGAUCUGAAAAGAAAACAGUCUCCACAUUUGUUCUAUACACCUACUUCCCAGGCUUGGUCAGCUGUGCUCUUAACCUACGUGGCCCAGGGUCGUAGGUCAAGGCAGUGUUUCCUUAUAUACAUCAUACGAACUGUCUACAGCAGGUGCUUUCACUGCCUGUAAAAAGGGAAGCAUACCUUCCCUGAUGCCCUCCCAGAAGUGCAUUCUGAGGCAGAAACAAGAUCAAG